CAUGCCCAUCAAGAUCGUCGGCGUUGCCGCUCUCACGGUCCUGCUAUUUUCUGAAGUCAUGUGUGCUUGCACUUAUGAUGCAUUGACUCAAGAAAUAGAAGAGAUCUUUCUAUUUUCUGAAGUCAAUCUCAAUUGUUCACCUAUCCUUUUAUACAUGAGUAGAAGUCCUAAUAAGAGAAAACAAAGUAUGGUACCUAAACAGUAGUAGAUAUCAAUAUCAAUAUGUGAGCUAUAACGAUUACUUGAUCUUUAUGGCAUGGACGAUGUGUUUGACAACACUAUUACCUUGUAAGGUCUGCUUGUUCUUGCUAUAUAUUGCAUGUGCUAGAUAGCUCCUAUCCAAACUUGUAGAAGUCUGCGUCAAUAGCACUUAUACUUAAUUUUUAAAUUCUCUAUUUUGUUAUGUCGGUUGAUGACACCAGUUAAUCAUGCUCUUUGUGUGUGUGUGUGUGUGUNNNNNNNNNNGAUCCUUUUAUACAUGAGUAGAAGUCCUAAUAAGGGAAAACAAAGUAUGGUACCUAAACAGUAGUAGAUAUCAAUAUCAAUAUCUGAGCUAUAACGAUUACUUGAUCUUUAUGGCAUGGACGAUGUGUUUGACAACACUAUUACCUUGUAAGGUCUGCUUGUUCUUGCUAUAUAUUGCAUGUGCUAGAUAGCUCCUAUCCAAACUUGUAGAAGUCUGCGUCAGUAGCACUUAUACUUAAUUUUUAAAUUCUCUAUUUUGUUAUGUGGGUUGAUGACACCAGUUAAUCAUGCUCUUUGUGUGU
Molecule: long non-coding RNA, 767 nt
Filed under: Hordeum vulgare
Lineage: Eukaryota; Viridiplantae; Streptophyta; Magnoliopsida; Poales; Poaceae
Description: long non-coding RNA (HVUL_LNC013432)
Source: RNAcentral